This 705-nucleotide ribosomal RNA is filed under the name uncultured Actinomycetales bacterium. RNAcentral's name for it is "bacterial SSU rRNA". It matches the Rfam family "Bacterial small subunit ribosomal RNA", at positions 60 to 778 of the family's 1533-position model. Lineage: Bacteria; Bacillati; Actinomycetota; Actinomycetes; Actinomycetales. The record is from RNAcentral.
AGUCGAACGGAAAGGCCCUGCUUGCAGGGUACUCGAGUGGCGAACGGGUGAGUAACACGUGGGUGAUCUGCCCUGCACUUCGGGAUAAGCUUGGGAAACUGGGUCUAAUACCGGAUAGGAACCAUCUUUAGUGUGGUGGUUGGAAAGUUUUUUCGGUGUAGGAUGAGCUCGCGGCCUAUCAGCUUGUUGGUGGGGUAAUGGCCUACCAAGGCGGCGACGGGUAGCCGGCCUGAGAGGGUGUACGGCCACAUUGGGACUGAGAUACGGCCCAGACUCCUACGGGAGGCAGCAGUGGGGAAUAUUGCACAAUGGGCGCAAGCCUGAUGCAGCGACGCCGCGUGGGGGAUGAAGGCCUUCGGGUUGUAAACUCCUUUCGCUAGGGACGAAGCUUUUUGUGACGGUACCUAGAUAAGAAGCACCGGCUAACUACGUGCCAGCAGCCGCGGUAAUACGUAGGGUGCGAGCGUUGUCCGGAAUUACUGGGCGUGAAGGGCUCGUAGGUGGUUUGUCGCGUCGUCUGUGAAAUUCUGGGGCUUAACUCCGGGCGUGCAGGCGAUACGGGCAUAACUUGAGUGCUGUAGGGGUAACUGGAAUUCCUGGUGUAGCGGUGAAAUGCGCAGAUAUCAGGAGGAACACCGAUGGCGAAGGCAGGUUACUGGGCAGUUACUGACGCUGAGGAGCGAAAGCAUGGGUAGCGAACAGGAU